UGCCUUUUAGCUGUUAAAGUGUUGUGAUUUCGGCUCAUAGAGAAUGGAUAUUAUCCAUAAAGGUAA
This 66-nucleotide transfer RNA is filed under the name Mytilisepta keenae. RNAcentral's name for it is "tRNA-Arg". Lineage: Eukaryota; Metazoa; Mollusca; Bivalvia; Mytilida; Mytilidae. The record is from RNAcentral.